Molecule: non-coding RNA, 109 nt
Organism: Acanthosepion pharaonis
Lineage: Eukaryota; Metazoa; Mollusca; Cephalopoda; Sepiida; Sepiidae
Source: the annotation of a GenBank genome assembly
GUCCACAUCAUGUUCAAACACUUGUUCGCGUACGAUCACCGAAGUUAAGCCACGUCGAUCCCGAUCAGUACCUAGAAGGGUGACCGCUUGGGAAUACCAGGUGCUGUAA